AUUGAACGCUGGCGGAAUGCUUUACACAUGCAAGUCGAACGGUAGAGGGGGCAACCCUCGAGAGUGGCGAACGGGUGAGUAAUAUAUCGGAACGUGCCCAGUCGUGGGGGAUAACGUAGCGAAAGUUACGCUAAUACCGCAUACGAUCUACGGAUGAAAGCGGGGGAUCGCAAGACCUCGCGCGAUUGGAGCGGCCGAUAUCAGAUUAGGUAGUUGGUGGGGUAAAGGCUCACCAAGCCAACGAUCUGUAGCUGGUCUGAGAGGACGACCAGCCACACUGGAACUGAGACACGGUCCAGACUCCUACGGGAGGCAGCAGUGGGGAAUUUUGGACAAUGGACGCAAGUCUGAUCCAGCCAUUCCGCGUGCAGGAUGAAGGCCCUCGGGUUGUAAACUGCUUUUGUACGGAACGAAAAGGUUUCUAUUAAUACUAGGAGCUCAUGACGGUACCGUAAGAAUAAGCACCGGCUAACUACGUG
Molecule: ribosomal RNA, 479 nt
Filed under: uncultured bacterium
Lineage: Bacteria
Description: bacterial SSU rRNA
Rfam family: Bacterial small subunit ribosomal RNA
Source: RNAcentral